CUACGGGAUGCAGCAGUGAGGAAUAUUGCACAAUGGGGGGAACCCUGAUGCAGCAACGCCGCGUGGAGGAUUACGCAUUUCGGUGUGUAAACUCCUUUUAUAUGUCAAGAAAAUGACAGUAGCAUAUGAAUAAGCACCGGCUAACUCCGUGCCAGCAGCCGCGGUAAUACGGAGGGUGCAAGCGUUACUCGGAAUCACUGGGCGUAAAGGACGCGUAGGCGGGUUGGAAAGUCAGGUGUGAAAUCCUACAGCUUAACUGUAGAACUGCACUUGAAACUUCUAAUAUAGAGUAUGGGAGGGGGAGAUGGAAUUAGUGGUGUAGGGGUAAAAUCCGUAGAUAUCACUAGGAAUACCUAAAGCGAAGGCGAUCUCCUGGAACAUUACUGACGCUAAGGCGUGAAAGCGUGGGGAGCAAACAGGAUUAGAUACCCGCGUAGUC
Molecule: ribosomal RNA, 439 nt
Filed under: uncultured bacterium
Lineage: Bacteria
Description: partial 16S ribosomal RNA
Rfam family: Bacterial small subunit ribosomal RNA
Source: RNAcentral